RNAcentral lists this ribosomal RNA (488 nucleotides) under Arthrobacter sp. 089-3.2-LH-A-30. Its description in RNAcentral is "bacterial SSU rRNA". It matches the Rfam family "Bacterial small subunit ribosomal RNA", at positions 1 to 504 of the family's 1533-position model. Lineage: Bacteria; Bacillati; Actinomycetota; Actinomycetes; Micrococcales; Micrococcaceae. The record is from RNAcentral.
GGGGUGAGAUUUGAUCCUGGCUCAGGACGAACGCUGGCGGCGUGCUUAACACAUGCAAGUCGAACGAUGAUCCGGUGCUUGCACCGGUGAUUAGUGGCGAACGGGUGAGUAACACGUGAGUAACCUGCCCUUGACUCUGGGAUAAGCCUGGGAAACCGGGUCUAAUACCGGAUACGACCUGUCACCGCAUGGUGGCGGGUGGAAAGAUUUAUUGGUUUUGGAUGGACUCGCGGCCUAUCAGCUUGUUGGUGAGGUAAUGGCUCACCAAGGCGACGACGGGUAGCCGGCCUGAGAGGGUGACCGGCCACACUGGGACUGAGACACGGCCCAGACUCCUACGGGAGGCAGCAGUGGGGAAUAUUGCACAAUGGGCGCAAGCCUGAUGCAGCGACGCCGCGUGAGGGAUGACGGCCUUCGGGUUGUAAACCUCUUUCAGCAGGGAAGAAGCGAAAGUGACGGUACCUGCAGAAGAAGCGCCGGCUAACUAC